This 709-nucleotide ribosomal RNA is filed under the name uncultured bacterium. RNAcentral describes it as "bacterial SSU rRNA". It matches the Rfam family "Bacterial small subunit ribosomal RNA", at positions 141 to 851 of the family's 1533-position model. The record is from RNAcentral.
GGACAGCCUUCUGAAAGGAAGAUUAAUACAAGAUGGCAUCAUGAGUCCACAUGUUCACAUGAUUAAAGGUAUUCCGGUAGACGAUGGGGAUGCGUUCCAUUAGAUAGUAGGCGGGGUAACGGCCCACCUAGUCUUCGAUGGAUAGGGGUUCUGAGAGGAAGGUCCCCCACAUUGGAACUGAGACACGGUCCAAACUCCUACGGGAGGCAGCAGUGAGGAAUAUUGGUCAAUGGGCGAGAGCCUGAACCAGCCAAGUAGCGUGAAGGAUGACUGCCCUAUGGGUUGUAAACUUCUUUUAUAAAGGAAUAAAGUCGGGUAUGCAUACCCGUUUGCAUGUACUUUAUGAAUAAGGAUCGGCUAACUCCGUGCCAGCAGCCGCGGUAAUACGGAGGAUCCGAGCGUUAUCCGGAUUUAUUGGGCUUAAAGGGAGCGUAGAUGGAUGUUUAAGUCAGUUGUGAAAGUUUGCGGCUCAACCGUAAAAUUGCAGUUGAUACUGGAUAUCUUGAGUGCAGUUGAGGCAGGCGGAAUUCGUGGUGUAGCGGUGAAAUGCUUAGAUAUCACGAAGAACUCCGAUUGCGAAGGCAGCCUGCUAAGCUGCAACUGACAUUGAGGCUCGAAAGUGUGGGUAUCAAACAGGAUUAGAUACCCUGGUAGUCCACACGGUAAACGAUGAAUACUCGCUGUUUGCGAUAUACUGCAAGCGGCCAAG